Molecule: long non-coding RNA, 5477 nt
Filed under: Sorghum bicolor (sorghum)
Lineage: Eukaryota; Viridiplantae; Streptophyta; Magnoliopsida; Poales; Poaceae
Description: long non-coding RNA (SBIC_LNC001578)
Source: RNAcentral
AACUAAGUCCUGGAUACUGACAUCUUAUGCAUAUUUAAAAACAUAAAAAAAACAGCCAACACAUAUACAACCAUUUAACAUCAUACAUCCAGUGGCCUCAAAACUAUGGGAAGACCGAACUUAGGCUGAAGCGUUAUAUGAUCCGCAGGUGCAUGCACAUAACUUGAGGAAAGUGUGAAGGAGAAUUUCUUCAGGAUCAUGGCCAUAACUGACUUUGCUUCUAACAUUGCGAAGUUCUGACCGAUGCAUGACCUUGGUCCUAUUGAGAAUGAUAAAAGAGCUUGUGGGGUCUUUGCUGCAUUUGUGAUGCCAUUCUCAAACCUCAAUGGAUCAAAAUCAUUGGCAUUGUCACCCCAAACCUCUUUGUCUCGGUGGAGAAAUGGAAUAGGUAUGACAAUUCCAUUGCCUUUAGGUAUGCUGAGGCUUCCCAAUCUUAUAUCGGAGAUAGGCUUUCUUAGCAUGAGCAAAACAGGACCGUAGAGUCUCAGUGUCUCAAGGAGCACCAUCGUCAUCUGCAAUGUCAAUCUUCAGUGUUAGCAACAGCUCAAGAUUAUUAUGAAUAUUGCAAUAGUCACAAGUAGACACUGGAAUCCACGCAAGAUCUGUUCUCGAUACCUCUUUCAGUUUGUUAAGCAUGUCUGCAGUAGGAUUUUCCUUUCCACAUUCUCUCAGGACCUCCUCUCUUAGCCGUUCCUGCCAUUCUGGAUAAACACUAAGCAAGAACAUUGUCCAGGUAAGCAAAUGGGAUGUGGUCUCAUGGCCGGCAAAGAAGAACGUCUUGCACUCGUCUAUGAUCUCAUCCAUGGUCAGGGUCAACUCAUCUCGUUUGUCUCCUUGUUCUGUUGUGAGGCAAGCCUCAAGCAUGAGACCGAGCAGAUCGUCUCCGUAUCCACCUCCAUUGGAUGCCAACCGGGGCUGUAUGAUUGCCAUGAGCAUCGUCUUAAUCUUCUUCUCUAGCAUCCACUUCAGUCUGUUGUUUUUAGUAGGAAGAUACCUGGAAGUAAAGAAUUCAUUAACCAAGCAUUAUUAGGAUGCAUAGAAAAAGCAAGAUUACUUCUGACCAAGAAAUAUAUUGACUUGCUUGAAUCCUGGCAGUUGCACAUUGAGGAGAGUUGCCAUGGCUAGUGCCAGGAGCUGCUUCUGCGUAUGGAAGACCUCUUUGCCCUCCUUAUAACUGCUUCCAAAACCAGUAUGGGAUAUGACGUCUGCCGUCAAGUCCUGAAAUUGUUUGCUGAAUUCCACUUCCACUUCUCUGCUUUCGUUCCUGGACGCAAGCUGUUCCCACUCCUUGAUCAAUGACUCAGCACAGCUGACCAUCGUCGCCGUCAUCAUCUACAUCGUAGAACCAUAUAUAAAUGCAUUUUGAGAAUGUGUCACCGGUGGGAAAUGGGAAAUUGCCGGUGAGCUGAAAAUCGAGCAGGUUAUCAUUAUCACCUUGAGUUUGUCCAUAGCAAAAGCUGGGUUGACCACCCUUCGAUGGCGCACCCAGUCAGUGCCUUCCACCAAAACCAAGCCUUUGCCGAGCAUUGCCAGGAUAGUCGGGUGCGCAUCGUUCUUGAAGAAAUGGCCCGACUUGUUAAAAAGAACCUGCCUUACCGACUCGUAAUCGAGGAGGCAGAUCCGGGGCUGUGGACCGAACCAGUACAGAAAUGGCCCUCCUGCACGAGGUUCAAAUGCAAAAUCUUCAGUUCUAUUCCAUAUGGACACGGUUGAUUGACUGUGUGACAAGGUAGACUAAGAUAUGUUCACCCCCUAUGCUAUACAUACUAGAGAAUUAACACUUGUAGCAAGCCAUGCAAACUGUAUAUUAUCACUGUCUCUAGAUUUUUAAUGAAGAGAUCUUCUGUAAUUCUGUCUCUCUGGUAUAGGAUUAUUUUUCGUUUCAGUGUGUUGCACUGCCUGGAGCCAAGUGCAGUUUUCCCGGAGCAAUACUAGUAGUACAGAAAAGUUGUGCUAGCAUGAAAUUAGUGAAAAAUAUGUCAAGCAGAGCAGGAAGAGCCGAACAGAGCACACACAUAUAAGUAAGUACAUAACAUUAAACAUCUGGAGACAGUGGUUGUAUCCUAUCAUCCCUAUGAUUGAAAAAACAGACAUUACCGUACUGUUGCUUCCAGGUGAGGAAGUGGGGCAUCACCCUGGGGAGGUAGUUGUGGUCGCGGACGUCCAGCCGAAGCGCGUCGGCCGCCGCCUUCAUCCUCCUCAUCUCGUGGUUGUUGCCCCUGAGGAAGCUGCAGGGCGGUCCGCGGACCCCCUGCGCCCUGAACAUGCCGGCCACGGCGCGGGGCCGCCACAGGAGGCGCACCACGGCGUAGUCCCAGAGCCAGGCCGCCGCCAGCGCCAGGAGCGCCGUCGCCGAGGCCACGAGCAGCACGGACGCCAUGGCCGCACACGGUUUGAGGCCUUGAUUGGCGUCCGCUCUGUUUCCGCUCACGGUGGCAGUGCCGUGCCUUGGCCGUCUCUAGGCUGUGAUAUGACUAUAUGAGAGAUUUGGUUUGACCCAUUGCAGCUCCUCAGCGAAGCCAAGGGGAAAAAAAAGAACAAUAGAACUGCUCCAAAUAGCGACGGAGAACUGUUUCGGACUGAACUGGCUAUGCCGAAAACGUACUUCUUUUGCUUGCAGAAAUCACCAUCAUCCUUAUCUCUGGGUUUAUUUUUGCAAGUGGAUCGGACAUGGAUGCCCGGCAACUCGAAUAUGACAUAUUGAGCUAGCCAAAUUUGACAUCGGAUACGUCACUCUGAGAGCUACAUUAUAUUAGUUAAAAAUUGGAUGGAGAUGGAGCCUGCCACAACCGCAAAUCAUCGAUUCUGUUGGCUGCCGUGAGGUCACCGGUGACAAUAUUAUUCGUUGAUUUAUGUUUGAGAAAAAUACUGGUAGAAAAAAUACAGCUUAUAAAAUAAGCGAACAUGCUCGACAUUGAUACCAAGCUCAUGAGUCACGAAUCAUGACCAUUCGGGCUUGGUGGUCUCACUCUCACAAGAAAAUAAGGCUUGCACACUCCCACUUCUUUUUAGGGAGUGUUUUGUUGGGUGUUAAACUUUAACAAAUACUAUAGCAUUUUGUUUUAUUUGAUAAUUAAUGUUUAAUUAUAGACUAAUUAGGCUAAAAAAUUAUCUUACAAAUUAUUCUUUAUCAGUGUUUUUAGUUUUAUAGAUAGUAUAUAUUUAGUACUCUAUGUGUCCAAACAUUCGAUGUGACGAGAGUUAAAAAAUUAAGAGAAACCAAACAGAGCCUUAGGAGCAACAUCUACAGAAAAAAGGCCAUCAACCGUAGCGAAUUAGGAUACGCUCCUCAUGACCUCGUAGACUUGGAUGCACCGUUUAGAAAACACAAGAAAUAUAAACUAUGGUGAAAGACAUGCCGGCAGAAAAAAGCACCGGGUCCAGAUGACUUCAUAUGAGUUUUCUAUAAAUAAAAUGUUGGUCGAUUAUCAAAGGAGACUUGAUACAAGCGAUCUUGAGCUUUUACAGCCACCGAACCACAAGACUGAACUUAUAAUCAAUGAUGAAGCAAACAUCGUCCUGUUGCCCAAAACACAAGAUGCAACAUCACUCUCUGAUUAUAGACCCAUAAGUCUCAUCAAUAGGGUUACCAAAAUCAUCACAAAAAUUUUAGCAAAUAGACUGGCACCCCACAUGAACUCCCUAGCUAGUGUCACAUGCUCAAAAUGCUUUCAUCAAGAAGAGAUGUAUUCAUGAUAAUUCAUCAACGCACAAAAAGUAUAUAUGCACCUACAAACUAAAUGCACACUCUCUAUUUUACUCUAGCUUCGUCAACUGCCGCCAAAAAGCAGCCGCACGCGGUGCUCUCUAUACGUUUUUGAAGGCAGUCGGCAGGGAAGUUCCCUACCUAUUUUUUGUUUUUUUUGUUUUUUGUAUUUAUGAACAACAAAAGAAUAAAGUAUUUACAGGGAGUUACAGAGCCCUCAGGGCCAAAAGAAGAAAAACGAAAAGUAUUAGAGCUUAUUCUCACACCAAGAUUUCAAAGGGCCUGCAAUUCUGCUCUUAGCCUUGAUACAAACCAGACUAAGUUCUUCUUUUAGCGGUAAUCGCCAUUGUAGCAAGGAGUGCUCUCUAUAGGUGGAUAGGUAGCCUCGCUUACCCAACCCAACAAACACAGAGCAGGCCGUGCCGUGCAUCUAACCCCCACGCCCACCCAGGCUUUCACGCCGAGUGGACCGUGCGUCCCAGUGCUGGGCCAGGUGGGCUGAAGGGUGCUCGCCCUGCACUCAACGAUGCCCGCCCGUGGGUAGCAGUAGCACUCGCCCAGCGCCAGGAACUCGCCUGCCACGGUGCUCGCCACUCCAGUGCUGCUCGGUCCAGCGUCUGCUAAUCGGCCAGGCCGAGUAGCCCAAUCGGCCAAGCCGAUUUCCAGUACAGCAGUAAUUUUGUUUUGAUCACUGAAAAAAAAAAAGCAAUUUUGUUCUGUGUGUUUCUUGCGUUUCUUCGAUUUGUUUUGAGUGCCACUGUACUAAUUAAGGAACUUUUCUCAAUCUUCGGUCACUCGUUGGCCUGAGGGUCUCAAGUUGGGCUUUUGCCUUUCUGUGGUGGAGGUGGAGAGCGUCGUUUCCGGGUUUUAGGUGUUGCACCGGUUCUUGAUGUGUAGAGGUGUCCAUAUAUUCCAAGUAAACAUUCAGCUACUAGUUGGCUCGAGGGCAUCUCGCUUGAAGUAUUUUAAGUUUUUGAAGGUGAUUUUAGAAUGGUGAUCAUUUCAAGAGAAAUCUUGAAUUGGCUUCCAUUCACCUCCUCUCUAGUCGCCUUGUUCGGUCCUUUGAAAUCUGUUACUCCGUACUUUCCUCGGAGAGAAAAAAAACAAGUGACAUUUGGGAUUACUGUACAUAAAUGCACAUUCUGUGCUUCUCUACCUACGAAAUCAUGGCAACCAUCCGAAUCCGAAUCCGCAAAUCUAUAGGCAGUAAAAAGAUCUGUAAUUCAGCAUAGCUGUCCAGGCAAGAGUUUGUAAACUCAGGUAAUUCAACUCAGAAUGAACUCUGAAUACAAAGUUUUAUGUAGCAUCGUAUAUUGUAUACAUAGUAUGGGCAUAAAGUCCCAGAAAGUUACCCAUUUUCAACAAGUUUUGGUUCUUUAGGCGUACUGUUUGGCGGAUGAAACUAAGUCCUAAAUACUGGCAUCGAUCUUAUGCAUAUUUAGACAUAAAAUUUUCAGCUAGCAUCAUACAUCCAGUGGCCUCAAAACUAUGGGAAGACCGAACUUAGGCUGAAGCGUUAUAUGAUCUGCAGGUGCAUGCACAUAACUUGAGGAAAGUGUGAAGGAGAAUUUCUUCAGGAUCAUGGCCAUUACUGACUUUGCUUCUAACAUUGCGAAGUUCUGACCGAUGCAUGAUCUUGGUCCUAUUGAGAAUGACAGAAGAGCCUGUGGGGUCUUUGCUGCAUUUGUGAUCCCAUUCUCAAACCUCAGUGGAUCAAAAUCAUUGGCAUUGUCACCCCAAACCUCUUUGUCUCGGUGGAGAAAUGGAAUAG